Molecule: unclassified non-coding RNA, 312 nt
Filed under: Pycnandra grandifolia
Lineage: Eukaryota; Viridiplantae; Streptophyta; Magnoliopsida; Ericales; Sapotaceae
Description: Leptostylis grandifolia partial contains external transcribed spacer and 18S ribosomal RNA; ETS
Source: RNAcentral
UCCNUUUCAGUCGCGCUUCAAGAGCAGUUAGUACCUUGAGCGUGUUGGUGUUCCUGUGUUGGAUNCAUGCCUAACGUGACGGAAAUUGGCCCCGGAUGAGUCCUAAUCUUCGACUCUCACCAAUUGGUGGUGUUAGGUUGACGUGGAAGUACUGCCCAUUCUCCUUGAAUGCUUCGACCUGUGGCGUUGCAAUCAUGGGCCAUGGGUUGCUACUAGUUCCCUCGGAUGCAGAACUUUUCGAUGGGUGGUGCACAGUAAGUUGGCCACAAAGCGUUCAUCGGUCGGUGCGUACGACAGCUGUGCCCGUCUUGG